This 346-nucleotide unclassified non-coding RNA is filed under the name Hevea brasiliensis (rubber tree). The record is from RNAcentral. Lineage: Eukaryota; Viridiplantae; Streptophyta; Magnoliopsida; Malpighiales; Euphorbiaceae.
AAAAAAUAAAAAUAAAAAAAACCCUAAACUAACACUUCAACUCACACUACCUUCAGACUUGGAGCAUAUCAGGUAUUUAUUCCUUCCUUUCUCUCCUCCUCUCCUCUACUCUUCUUCAAUACUUCUUCUCCCCUCUCACCUGCCCAUUCAGUCAUGCCAUUUUUUCUCCUCUCUUACUUCUUUUCCUGCGUUUUCUUUUUUUUUUUUUUCAGUUUUUAUACUUUAUUUUGUAAUGAUGGGUCUGGAGAAUUGUACAUGGGGGGAGAUUAGAGAAGCCAAUUGUGCAAUUCUCAUCUUGAAAUGGUUUUGCAAUGGCAGAAUGGUAGAACUUAGAAGUGUGUUUCUC